Papaver somniferum (opium poppy) is the source of this 754-nucleotide long non-coding RNA. RefSeq lists it as uncharacterized. The record is from RefSeq and is a predicted model, not a curated record. The transcript has 4 exons. Lineage: Eukaryota; Viridiplantae; Streptophyta; Magnoliopsida; Ranunculales; Papaveraceae.
CUAACCUAACUUUGCAUCGAUUUCAUGCUACUUCGAUCUUUUCAUCAAACAGCUUACUUUAUCACCUUUAACUAUUUGUAGAAGUUGCAGAGAUUUGAAGUUUAUUCGAGUUGUUCUGCUACCUUGAUGCUCAUAUAUUCUAGAUUGUUGGGAAACUAAUACAGGCUUUUCCUCCACUUCUUUGUCACCCUGCACUCAUCUUCACCAUGGCUGAAUACGUAGUCCUUGUCCGUAUGAAAGAUGUAUCAACGACAAACAUUCGAGGACUAAAUCUUGGAAGUUUGUUCGGCCGUCAAUAUUAUCGUUCUUAUCGUGGUUUCUACGUUCCUCCUACUUCUUUGAAUCCUUAGGGAUGAUUUUGCUCAUGUGUUCUUCGGAAAAUUGGCCGAUGCUAGAAAAGCCGAAUCCUAUUAUUCUAGAAAUCCAGCUGAAUCCUACACUGUCAAGGUUUUAGACUUCUCCGCAUCUGGCGUAUGGACAGGACCUCCCAUUGUUGUUCCUCCUGCUCGAAGCGCACCUAGCCCUGUAUCUCUUGUUCCCCAUGCUCCAAGCGCACCUAGCCCUGUAUCUCUUGUUCCCCAUGCUCCAAGCGCUCCCACCUCCGGAUCCUCGGUUGAAGUUGAAGGUACUGCUUCCUUUGCCUCUCUCACCUCUCUCUUUUGGGAUUACACUUAUUAGAAGUCGAAGAGAAAGUGUGCAGAAGAAACCACAAAGGGCAACUUAGUCAAAGUAAUGUGAAAGAGAAUUUAAUUAA